Molecule: ribosomal RNA, 1436 nt
Filed under: Salmonella enterica subsp. enterica serovar Infantis
Lineage: Bacteria; Pseudomonadati; Pseudomonadota; Gammaproteobacteria; Enterobacterales; Enterobacteriaceae
Description: partial 23S ribosomal RNA
Rfam family: Bacterial large subunit ribosomal RNA
Source: RNAcentral
AAUCCAUAGGUUAAUGAGGCGAACCGGGGGAACUGAAACAUCUAAGUACCCCGAGGAAAAGAAAUCAACCGAGAUUCCCCCAGUAGCGGCGAGCGAACGGGGAGGAGCCCAGAGCCUGAAUCAGCAUGUGUGUUAGUGGAAGCGUCUGGAAAGGCGCGCGAUACAGGGUGACAGCCCCGUACACAAAAGCGCAUGUGCUGUGAGCUCGAUGAGUAGGGCGGGACACGUGGUAUCCUGUCUGAAUAUGGGGGGACCAUCCUCCAAGGCUAAAUACUCCUGACUGACCGAUAGUGAACCAGUACCGUGAGGGAAAGGCGAAAAGAACCCCGGCGAGGGGAGUGAAAAAGAACCUGAAACCGUGUACGUACAAGCAGUGGGAGCACAGGUUUACCUGUGUGACUGCGUACCUUUUGUAUAAUGGGUCAGCGACUUAUAUUCUGUAGCAAGGUUAACCGAAUAGGGGAGCCGGAGGGAAACCGAGUCUUAAUUGGGCGUUAAGUUGCAGGGUAUAGACCCGAAACCCGGUGAUCUAGCCAUGGGCAGGUUGAAGGUUGGGUAACACUAACUGGAGGACCGAACCGACUAAUGUUGAAAAAUUAGCGGAUGACCUGUGGCUGGGGGUGAAAGGCCAAUCAAACCGGGAGAUAGCUGGUUCUCCCCGAAAGCUAUUUAGGUAGCGCCUCGUGAAUUCAUCUCCGGGGGUAGAGCACUGUUUCGGCUAGGGGGCCAUCCCGGCUUACCAACCCGAUGCAAACUGCGAAUACCGGAGAAUGUUAUCACGGGAGACACACGGCGGGUGCUAACGUCCGUCGUGAAGAGGGAAACAACCCAGACCGCCAGCUAAGGUCCCAAAGUCAUGGUUAAGUGGGAAACGAUGUGGGAAGGCCCAGACAGCCAGGAUGUUGGCUUAGAAGCAGCCAUCAUUUAAAGAAAGCGUAAUAGCUCACUGGUCGAGUCGGCCUGCGCGGAAGAUGUAACGGGGCUAAACCAUGCACCGAAGCUGCGGCAGCGAACGUAUCACUUAAAGCGAUUCAGCGGGUUACGAUUGACGGAGCGAAGCGACGUCAAAGCGUAUACAAAGUCGAGUCGGUUUAAGGAUACGUUCGUUGGGUAGGGGAGCGUUCUGUAAGCCUGUGAAGGUGUGUCGUGAGGCAUGCUGGAGGUAUCAGAAGUGCGAAUGCUGACAUAAGUAACGAUAAAGCGGGUGAAAAGCCCGCUCGCCGGAAGACCAAGGGUUCCUGUCCAACGUUAAUCGGGGCAGGGUGAGUCGACCCCUAAGGCGAGGCCGAAAGGCGUAGUCGAUGGGAAACGGGUUAAUAUUCCCGUACUUGGUGUUACUGCGAAGGGGGGACGGAGAAGGCUAUGUUGGCCGGGCGACGGUUGUCCCGGUUUAAGCGUGUAGGUGUGUGUUCCAGGUAAAUCCGGUUCACUUUAAC